AUAUUUACCUGGCAGGGGAGAUACCAUGAUCAUGAAGGUGGUUUUCCCAGGGCGGGAUAUACCCAAUGCACUCUGGGUGUGCUGACACCUGUGAUUUCCCCAAAUGUGGGAAACUCGACGGCAUAAUUUGUGGUAGUGGGGGACUGCGUUCCCACUCUCCCCCG
RNAcentral lists this small nuclear RNA (164 nucleotides) under Carlito syrichta (Philippine tarsier). RNAcentral describes it as "U1 spliceosomal RNA (ENSTSYG00000033333.1)". It matches the Rfam family "U1 spliceosomal RNA". From Rfam's summary of the family: U1 is a small nuclear RNA (snRNA) component of the spliceosome (involved in pre-mRNA splicing). Its 5' end forms complementary base pairs with the 5' splice junction, thus defining the 5' donor site of an intron. There are significant differences in sequence and secondary structure between metazoan and yeast U1 snRNAs, the latter being much longer (568 nucleotides as compared to 164 nucleotides in human). The record is from Rfam by way of RNAcentral. Lineage: Eukaryota; Metazoa; Chordata; Mammalia; Primates; Tarsiidae.